UACGAGGGGAGCUAGCGUUGUUCGGAAUUACUGGGCGUAAAGCGCGCGUAGGCGGUUUUCCAAGUCAGGGGUGAAAGCCCGGGGCUCAACCCCGGAAUAGCCCUUGAAACUGGAGAACUAGAAUCUUGGAGAGGUCAGUGGAAUUCCGAGUGUAGAGGUGAAAUUCGUAGAUAUUCGGAAGAACACCAGUGGCGAAGGCGACUGACUGGACAAGUAUUGACGCUGAGGUGCGAAAGCGUGGGGAGCAAAC
This 250-nucleotide ribosomal RNA is filed under the name uncultured bacterium. Its description in RNAcentral is "partial 16S ribosomal RNA". It matches the Rfam family "Bacterial small subunit ribosomal RNA", at positions 524 to 773 of the family's 1533-position model. The record is from RNAcentral.